This 450-nucleotide ribosomal RNA is filed under the name uncultured bacterium. RNAcentral's name for it is "bacterial SSU rRNA". It matches the Rfam family "Bacterial small subunit ribosomal RNA", at positions 355 to 825 of the family's 1533-position model. The record is from RNAcentral.
UCGGGAAUUUUGGGCAAUGGGCGAAAGCCUGACCCAGCAACGCCGCGUGAUGGACGAAGUGCUUCGGCACGUAAACAUCUUUUAUGUGGGAUGAAAUUAUUGACAGUACCACAUGAAUAAGGGGCUCCUAACUCUGUGCCAGCAGGAGCGGUAAUACAGAGGCCCCAAGCGUUAUCCGGAAUCACUGGGCGUAAAGGGUGUCGAGGCGGUUGUAUUAGUCGUUCGUAAAAUCUACGAGCUUAACUUGUAGGCGGCGAACGAAACGGUACGACUUGAGGUUUGGAGAGGUGCGUGGAACUCACGGUGUAGGGGUGAAAUCCGUUGAUAUCGUGGGGAACACCAAAGGCGAAGGCAGCGCACUGGCCAAAAUCUGACGCUCACACACGAAAGCUAGGGUAGCGAAGAGGAUUAGAUACCCUUGUAGUCCCUGAGCGGGCUGGCAAGGCGCAU